GGCGGUGUAGCUCAGCUGGCUAGAGCGUACGGUUCAUACCCGUGAGGUCGGGGGUUCGAUCCCCGUGAGGUCGGGGGUUCGAUCCCCCCUCCGCCGCUA
This 99-nucleotide transfer RNA is filed under the name Lederbergia galactosidilytica. RNAcentral's name for it is "Bacillus galactosidilyticus tRNA-Met". It matches the Rfam family "tRNA". From Rfam's summary of the family: Transfer RNA (tRNA) molecules are approximately 80 nucleotides in length. Lineage: Bacteria; Bacillati; Bacillota; Bacilli; Caryophanales; Bacillaceae. The record is from RNAcentral.